RNAcentral lists this ribosomal RNA (425 nucleotides) under uncultured bacterium. RNAcentral's name for it is "partial 16S ribosomal RNA". It matches the Rfam family "Bacterial small subunit ribosomal RNA", at positions 354 to 796 of the family's 1533-position model. The record is from RNAcentral.
GUUAGGAAUAUUGGACAAUGGGGGAAACCCUGAUCCAGCCAUGUCGCGUGAGUGAAGAAGGCCUUAGGGUUGUAAAGCUCUUUCGGCUGUGAAGAUAAUGACAGUAGCAGAAGAAGAAGCCCCGGCUAAAUUCGUGCCAGCAGCCGCGGUAAUACGAAUGGGGCGAGCGUUGUUCGGAAUCACUGGGCGUAAAGCGUACGCAGGCGGUCAUGAAAGUCAGGAGUGAAAUCCCAGGGCUUAACCCUGGAAUGGCUCUUGAAACUCCAUGACUAGAGUACUGGAGAGGUUAGCGGAAUUCCGAGUGUAGAGGUGAAAUUCGCAGAUAUUCGGAGGAACACCAAUGGCGUAGGCAGCUAACUGGACAGUAACUGACGCUCAUGUACGAAAGCGUGGGGAUCAAACAGGAUUAGAUACCCGGGUAGUCC